GGAAAAAAUCAUUUAAAACUACAAAAAAAAUACUUUUGAAAAUAAGGUACAUCUUUAUAUUUUGAAAAUUCUUUUUUGUAGUUACGUCGUGGGAAGCGAACGUUAAAAACUUCACCCUGUGCUUUUUUGUAUUGAAUUGGGGUGGCUCCUUUCAUAUGAAAAACAGAAAACUCUAUUUGCUUGAUUGUAGCGGUUAAGUUUUUUAAACGCAAAAAAUACAAUUGGUGCAAAAAAGUAAUACGUCUCGGGAAUUGACGUUAAACUUCGCCCUGUACAGCUAAUUACCAAAGGUAGCUCCUCUGGAAUUUAGUCUGUAGCAAACGUUGGAAAAAAUGUUUAACGUAUUCCGCACUCAUACUGUUGGAUACGUCUCUCAUUGUUUACCGAGGUGUGGUCUUUGGGAACAGACCCUUUCCUGAUUAUUCUUUAUUUCUAAAAUAAAGUUUGUUCAAUCAGGUCAAAAUAAAGAAAAACAGCACCCUGCGUUGAAGGAACAAAGGUAGCUCCUUUGUCCCCACAAUGAAAAAGAAUUCAAAUGUUGACGGUAACUAUAUCGUUGCGGUCAACUGUAAUUCUAUUAGGUCUUUGGGACAAGACCUAAAUCUAGCUUGUUUUGUUACCAGCUAGAAAGACAAAUAACAUGGUCAUCCUUGCACACUUUUUUUUUGGUUUAGGGUGACUCGAGCCAAAAAAAGUGCAAUAGUUUUUUAUUAUGGAUUAAAAUCUGGGAAAACAAAAUAAAAUCCUCUUAGCGGUGGAUAUCUCGGUUCUCACAACAAUGAAGAACGCAGCAAAGCGCGAUAGGUAUUGCGAAUUGCAGAGUUCAGUGAAUCAUCGUAUCUUUGAACGCACUAAGCGCCUCUGAGCUUUGCUCUUAGGCAUGCUUUUUCGAGUGUCAUUAUAAAAAAUAUCGAAACCCUGCUUGGUUGCGAAGCUCCUUGUUACAAAAUGUCACAUUCUCAUGAUCAACGGACGGCGGCUCCUGAUGUUGGUUGUGUGGGGUGUUUCACUAGUUCUAGUGAGAAUCGCGAAAGGUAAGGAAUCGGAGUUCGUUUGUCGAGCUGCAACAUUUGUUCGUCAAAUUAGAUUCUAUGAGUUUUGCACACGCUUCAUGGUGCGUGAAAGCACAGUGGAUUGUUCAAAAUUUUGUUUGGUACUGUUGUUAGUCUCCAAUCGUCUAAACAAAAACCUGAACAAUUACUCUGAGAGGUCUUUCACCAUUUUUCUGCUGUUCUCUUCUAAACUGACAAAGAAAAAAAUAAAAAGAAAGUUGAGCCAAACUUUUACGCCCGGGCUUUCUUCAGAGAAAAUGUUCAACUUAUAGUCUGCUGUGCAUGACAUUAAUCGUGUCCUCUGCUUUGCAGUCUAUUUUGUUGCGUUUUCUUUUUUAGUUGCUUGUGGCCUCUGACUGUGUGGGUCUUUGUUGUCAUGAUAACUAUUAAGUUGAUGUCCUUACAAAGUCUUUGUUGUGUGACCAACCAUUUGGAGUUGUGUCCUUACAAAAUCAAUUUUUUUAUUGUUUUUAUUAUUUGAUUGGGGAAAGAAUUUGACAGUAGAGAGCCAUUUUGCUGUAUUUUGUAGAGAAACUAGCCAAUUUUCUAUGAUUGCAUUGGGUCUCAUCCCAUAUGUGUAAGGCGUACGGUAACUGAAGAGGCAAUAUAAUUGUUUAAAAACUAUUAUUGCGUUUCUUUAUGGAGACACAGAAUAUGCUUUGGCCAAAUACGAAAUGCGGUGUAAAACAUCCAUUUCCGCUCGCCCUUGCAAGCCCAAGUUGGUUACAGUGCCCAGAUCUCCGGCCAUAAACUAGUUGUAAAAAGCUUGUUUAAAAUUCAUCAUGAAACCUCGAAUAAAGUAAGAAAACCCGCUUGAUUUAAGCAUAUAACUCAGCGGAGGAAAAGAAAUCAACAGAGAUUCCCUUAGUAGCGGCGAGCGAAACGGGAAAAGCCCAUCUUGAAUCCUUUUGUGGUUUCCAUUUAGGGAGUUGUGGGGUAUGGAUGUAUUUUCUGUGCGUGGCCUCGGUCUAAGUUCUCCUGGCAAGAGACAACGUAGAGGGUGAGAUUCCCGUCUAUGGCUGAGAGUUCGCGUCGUUAGAAAUGCUUUCCAAGAGUAGCGUAGUUCGAGAGUGCUGCGUGAAUAUGGGAGAUAAUCUUCUUCCAAGGCUAAAUAUCUGUGAGAGAUCGAUAGCGCACAAGUACCGUGAGGGAAAGAUGCAAAGAACUCUGAAGAGAGAGUCCAAAGACCUUGAAACCGCUAAGGGUGAAGGGAUGAACACCAGUACACGACAACUGUCCUAUGGUCAUUUUUUAUCUUUCAUUUGUUAGAUGUCUUUUGCUGUAGAACUUGGUGUUCUGCAGCCGAGCUCUUGCGUAAUGUUUUAUAGAACUUGAUCUUAAGGUACGCACGUCCAACAAUGAGGGUCAAUUCUGUCGCUGUUACGUCUGGAAGGAAAAGGUAAGAUGUGAUGCUUUUUUGGCUGAUUUCUGCUUUACAGUUCCUUCAGGACACAGACAAAGCAGCAACUGGGAUUGAGGUAUCGAACAGCACGCUGAAGACGUCGGUCUUUCAGGAAAGGAUUUGGCAAAAAUCGUUCCACCGUGCUCGAGAUCGUUUGGCUAAAUGGUGGUCAUCCUCCCGUCUUGAAACACGGACCGGGGAGUCUUUCGUAUAUGCAAGUCAAAAGGUGUAAAAACCUUACGGCGAAAUUAAAGUGAAGGUAAUUUAUUACUGAGAUGGCAUUCCUUAUUUUUUUUGAGGCACCCCCAUCGCCCGGCUUUGCAAUUACGGCAAGGUUCGAGGUUGAGCAUAUACGGUAGGACCCGAAAGAUGGUGAGCUAUGCUUGAGCAGGAUGAAGCCAGGGGAAACUCUGGUGGAGGUUCGCAGCGUUACUGACGUGCAAAUCGUUCGUCUGACUUGAGUAUAGGGGCGAAAGACCAAUCGAACCAUCUAGUAGCUGGUUCCCUC
RNAcentral lists this unclassified non-coding RNA (2962 nucleotides) under uncultured fungus. RNAcentral's name for it is "sequence contains 18S rRNA gene, ITS1, 5.8S rRNA gene, ITS2, 28S rRNA gene". The stretch from base 1838 to 2962 matches the Rfam family "Eukaryotic large subunit ribosomal RNA", at positions 1 to 961 of the family's 3401-position model. The record is from RNAcentral. Lineage: Eukaryota; Fungi.